RNAcentral lists this ribosomal RNA (465 nucleotides) under uncultured bacterium. RNAcentral's name for it is "partial 16S ribosomal RNA". It matches the Rfam family "Bacterial small subunit ribosomal RNA", at positions 28 to 507 of the family's 1533-position model. The record is from RNAcentral.
GACGAACGCUGGCGGCGUGCUUAACACAUGCAAGUCGAACGCUGAACCCGCUUCGGUGGGGGAUGAGUGGCGAACGGGUGAGUAACACGUGGGCAACCUGCCCCCGGCUCUGGGAUAACUCCAAGAAAUUGGGGCUAAUACCGGAUGUGACCGCUGGCCGCAUGGUCUGGUGGUGGAAAGGGUUUCCGGCUGGGGAUGGGCCCGCGGCCUAUCAGCUUGUUGGUGGGGUAGUGGCCUACCAAGGCGACGACGGGUAGCCGGCCUGAGAGGGUGACCGGCCACACUGGGACUGAGACACGGCCCAGACUCCUACGGGAGGCAGCAGUGGGGAAUAUUGCGCAAUGGGCGGAAGCUUGACGCAGCGACGCCGCGUGGGGGAUGACGGCCUUCGGGUUGUAAACCUCUUUCAGCAGGGACGAAGCGCAAGUGACGGUACCUGCAGAAGAAGCACCGGCCAACUACGUG